GACGAACGCUGGCGGCGUGCUUAACACAUGCAAGUCGAACGGAAAGGCCCUGCUUUUUUGGGGUGCUCGAGUGGCGAACGGGGGAGUAACACGUGAGUAACCUGCCCUUGACUUUGGGAUAACUUCAGGAAACUUGGGCUAAUACCGGAUAGGAGCUCCUGCUGCAUGGUGGGGGUUGGAAAGUUUCGGCGGUUGGGGAUGGACUCGCGGCUUGUCAGCUUGUUGGUGGGGUAGUGGCUUACCAAGGCUUUGACGGGUAGCCGGCCUGAGAGGGUGACCGGCCACAUUGGGACUGAGAUACGGCACAGACUCCUACGGGAGGCAGCAGUGGAGAAUAUUGCACAAUGGGCGGAAGCCUGAUGCAGCAACGCCGCGUGCGGGAUGACGGCCUUCGGGUUGUAAACCGCUUUCGCCUGUGACGAAGCGUGAGUGACGGUAAUGGGUAAAGAAGCACCGGCUAACUACGUG
Molecule: ribosomal RNA, 468 nt
Filed under: uncultured bacterium
Lineage: Bacteria
Description: partial 16S ribosomal RNA
Rfam family: Bacterial small subunit ribosomal RNA
Source: RNAcentral